This 382-nucleotide ribosomal RNA is filed under the name uncultured eukaryote. Its description in RNAcentral is "partial 18S ribosomal RNA". It matches the Rfam family "Eukaryotic small subunit ribosomal RNA", at positions 592 to 976 of the family's 1831-position model. The record is from RNAcentral.
UGUAAGCGUAUACCAAAGUUGUUGCAGUUAAAACGCUCGUAGUCGGAAUUUGGCAGUUCCGGAUGUGUGCACGUCGUGUGCGCACUUCGCGGGGAUUGCUUUUGUGGUCUUGCGUAGGAUGAGGCACUUUUAUUAGUGAACGUCCUCACGCAACCACUUUUUACUGUGAGAAAAUCAGAGUGCUCAAAGCAGGCAUCUGCCGUGAAUGUAUUAGCAUGGAAUAAUAGAAUAGGACUUGGUUCUAUUUUGUUGGUUUGUUGGGACUGAGUAAUGAUUAAGAGGGACAGUUGGGGGCAUUUGUAUUUCGGUGCUAGAGGUGAAAUUCUUAGAUUACCGAAAGACAAACUGCUGCGAAAGCGUCUGCCAAGGAUGUUUUCAUUGA